RNAcentral lists this ribosomal RNA (295 nucleotides) under uncultured bacterium. RNAcentral describes it as "partial 16S ribosomal RNA". It matches the Rfam family "Bacterial small subunit ribosomal RNA", at positions 334 to 619 of the family's 1533-position model. The record is from RNAcentral.
UUGCCCUACGGGGCGCAGCAGUAGGGAAUCUUCGGCAAUGGGGGCAACCCUGACCGAGCAACGCCGCGUGAGUGAAGAAGGUUUUCGGAUCGUAAAGCUCUGUUGUAAGAGAAGAACGUGUGUGAGAGUGGAAAGUUCACACAGUGACGGUAACUUACCAGAAAGGGACGGCUAACUACGUGCCAGCAGCCGCGGUAAUACGUAGGUCCCGAGCGUUAUCCGGAUUUAUUGGGCGUAAAGCGAGCGCAGGCGGUAUGUCAAGUCUGAAGGUAAAGGGCGUGGCUUUAACAUUGUA